Neolamprologus brichardi is the source of this 1771-nucleotide non-coding RNA. The record is from RefSeq and is a predicted model, not a curated record. NCBI's taxonomy places the organism in Eukaryota, Metazoa, Chordata, Actinopteri, Cichliformes, Cichlidae.
AACAAAUCUUAUGCAUGGAUGGAGAGAUGCACAAAACCAGACACCACUUGGUGAUGUGAUCAGCCGUGAAGCCAGAAGUGCUGUUUUCAGUCAAGGCUGCUAAUACUCCCGGAGAUGUCAACAGAAAGCUCAAGCUUUUCUGGCAGAAUAGUGAGGCCUAGAAGCUAGAAGGCAUCUAGGAGGCAUCAGGCACUCAGGUACCAGAACAACCUCCUCCUUUCAGUACAGAGGAGACUUGACACUAGAGCUGGUAUGAAAGAUGGAAUUUAGCAUCUGAAUCUAAUCUAAUCCAAUCCAAUUAGCACCAUCACUAACAACAACUGAUGCUUGCUUCCAUUGAUGUAUGUUUUAGCAUUGACCAUGAACACCACAGCAUGCUGAGCAUCAUCAUUUCAGCAAAGAGCAUCACUGUAAACACAGUACUGUAAAGUAGCUUGUUUAGCCAGCACUGCACUGUCUGCUAUUUUCGUGCAGCAUCUGAAUAACACAAAACCAGUAAUCUUCCAUGUUUUACAAAACCAUAAUUCAGCAAAACAUCAUUUAUUUAAAAAUUGCAAAAUGAAUUGGGACAUUAUAUGAUUAUAUAUUAUUAUAAGAUUUAUGUUUAGCAAAUGUCAUCUGCUGAACAGUACUUACCUUUGAAAACAAUUUCCCAUCUUCCUCUCAUUCCCUGUCUUUUUUAAAACAUCUUUCUCCAUCUCACUGUUUUACGUUUAACUAGCAGACAAACUGCACAAACAAUUUGUCUGCUAGCUUAAUGUAAAAAAUUCCACAUAUGUACAUAUUUGUCAUAUUUGUUGAGGAGUUUGAAAAUUUGAAAUGACCUGUCACCAUUUUUUUUAAAACUCCAUUUAUGUUCACUCCUCGUCUGUCUCACUAGCUAAAUGCUAACUACCGUGACUGAAAUUUGUACAUCUGCACCAGGAAUGCCUCACAGGGAUGGGAAAAGUGUGAGCUGUGAAUGUAAUUAUUUUCUUAUUACAAGUAUCUCUAUGCUGUCAUCUGCAGAAUGUGAGAAAUUAGCUAAUUCACUCAGUAACAUGCAUUAAUCUGCCCACUCACUGACUAAAUGUUUAGAAUACUGAAAAUUGCUGACUUUUGCUAAAAACUGUGGAAUUGGGGUGCAAAGCCUAAAGGAACUACCAGGAGAGUAUUAUUGUUAAUGAAUAUAAACAAACAGUAUUCUGUUAUUACACGACCUGUUAGACCAACUGAGCACCAACUGAUCAUUUUUGAGUAUUUAAUUAUAUUGUUUCCAGACAGACUCUGACCUUUACUGUAGACUAAAACCUGGAGAUUUGGGAUUGGAUAAAUGGGCUCCGAAUUACCAAAUAAAUAUGCUUUUGUUUUAUUUCAGAAAUAACAUUGCAUACUUUGUUUUUUUCUCAAGCUUUUAUUUAUUUUUUCCGCUACAUGUGGCACUGUAGCUAUUAGAGAGGAGUGUUUAGACCUGGCAGCUUCUCCAUUUCCAAAGACUGUGUGCACACGAGCUUCUUGUUUAAAGGAGAUCAUGUCAUAUUUGACAAAUGUCCAACAUAUACAGUUGUUGCUGCUGUAAUGAAGCAAGGAUGUGGUCAGGUCUGAAAAGUCAAAACACUGGUCACACACCCAGCAGUAAAAUUGUUUCUUGGAUGUUCAGCUUCCUUUCCCCUCAGUGACAUCAUGCUGUCACUGCUGAACUUCCAACUGUAGAGCAGUACACAUUUUUUACCCUUAGUGAGAGUUUAGACAGUUGUUCAAUGAGACGAUCACCUGCAAGUGAUAUAAAAUA